AGUGAACGCUGGCGGUAGGCCUAACACAUGCAAGUCGAACGGCAGCACAGUAAGAGCUUGCUCUUACGGGUGGCGAGUGGCGGACGGGUGAGGAAUACAUCGGAAUCUACUUUUCGUGGGGGAUAACGUAGGGAAACUUACGCUAAUACCGCAUACGACCCACGGGUGAAAGCAGGGGAUCUUCGGACCUUGCGCGAUUGAAUGAGCCGAUGUCGGAUUAGCUAGUUGGCGGGGUAAAGGCCUACCAAGGCGACGAUCCGUAGCUGGUCUGAGAGGAUGAUCAGCCACACUGGAACUGAGACACGGUCCAGACUCCUACGGGAGGCAGCAGUGGGGAAUAUUGGACAAUGGGCGCAAGCCUGAUCCAGCCAUACCGCGUGGGUGAAGAAGGCCUUCGGGUUGUAAAGCCCUUUUGUUGGGAAAGAAAAGCAGCAGGUUAAUACCCCGCUGUUCUGACGGUACCCAAAGAAUAAGCACCGGCUAACUUCGUG
RNAcentral lists this ribosomal RNA (491 nucleotides) under uncultured bacterium. RNAcentral describes it as "partial 16S ribosomal RNA". It matches the Rfam family "Bacterial small subunit ribosomal RNA", at positions 29 to 507 of the family's 1533-position model. The record is from RNAcentral.